This 211-nucleotide long non-coding RNA is filed under the name Cucumis sativus (cucumber). RNAcentral's name for it is "long non-coding RNA (CSAT_LNC002490)". Lineage: Eukaryota; Viridiplantae; Streptophyta; Magnoliopsida; Cucurbitales; Cucurbitaceae. The record is from RNAcentral.
CUUCUCCAGCUACACCCUUCCCUCCCAUACACUAAUCUCAAGUUAUCCUAAUUUUAUGAAAAAUGAUUACCAAUCUCUAGUACAUUUUUAUUAUAUUUUGUAAACCUUUUGAUUUAUUAUGUGGUAUAUAAAAAGGGUCCUAAUUUUAUUUUAUUUUAUUUCAAUUUUGCUUAAACCCACUUCAUUAGUACAUUAUGAGAGGGUCCACAAC